UCUGGGGAUGGACUGUGGAGACCGCCCUUGUCCUUGACACGCACCAGGUCACAUUUGUCAGUGGUGAGAAGUGCAAUCCUUGCACAGUCCGGGCAUUUUGCGUCUUUUGCAAAGUGAACGGCCACAUUGCCCGCAAUGUAUUGUACAAUGCUCUCGGCAAACUCCGAGAGAGGCUUGUAUCCUAUAACCCAGGUGGCGUCGGCGUCGUCCUGGCUUGUGUCAGCUGUCGGGUCUUGCUGGCGCUUGUCCGACGAGCUCAAAAGGAGCGUCUCCGUGCCGUCGACCUGACAGUUGCCACGGCUCGAGGGCAGCACAUUCGCGAUGAGGCACUUCCUGUACGCCGAGCGAAAUUCGAGGGCCCACAAUGUCUCGCAGUGUGCCACUGAAGAUGUUGUCCAGGAUGGCUACCGCUGGUUGAGGUAGCUGUGCCCUGAGUUUCUUCAGCAGCGCAUUGAGUUUUUUUAUCUUCAUUCCCUUCCGGUUCGCCUUUCUUUUUGCUUGUCUUAGGAUCUUCUUGGCUUUUCGCAGCUUGCGCUUGCUGGCAGCUAGAAGCAUCCUGUCCCGUCGUGGAGACACAACUGUGUAGCUGUGGUCGCCAGAGCAGCCAUGCCUGGAGGAGUUCUGGAUGUCUCAGUGGAAAUCUGCGGGAGACAACGAGGUCGGACUGUCAAAACACCGAAACAAUGCUGUCUUUCAAUAAAGCAAAUACAUAUUUGUGCAUUUCUAA
Long non-coding RNA from Ixodes scapularis (black-legged tick), 727 nucleotides. RefSeq lists it as uncharacterized. The transcript is spliced from 3 exons. Lineage: Eukaryota; Metazoa; Arthropoda; Arachnida; Ixodida; Ixodidae. The record is from RefSeq and is a predicted model, not a curated record.